UGAGAGAGAGAGAGGGAGGGAGGGAGGGAGAGAGAGACCAGAGAUUUGAAUAGCCAAAAAUGAAGCCGGUGGUGGGUAUGGUGAUAAGGAAUAAGAUGCAGAAAUCGGUGGUGGUGGCUGUGGAUCGCCUCUUCUACCACAAAGUUUACAACCGCUACGUUACGCGCACCUCCAAAUUCAUGGCCCAUGACGAGCAAAACCGAUGCAACCUUGGCGACCGUGUAAAGUUGGAACCUACGAGGCCGCUGAGCAAGCGGAAGCAUUGGAUUGUCGUUGACAUUCUUAAGAAGUACAAAAUUUAUCCGCCCACGGCCCACGGGGACGGAAGUGUCUAAACUCAAGAUUUAAGCACGGAAGAGAAGAAGGAAAAAAAAAAAAAAAAAGAAUCUAUGCAGAAUUUGAAAUGUGAUAGCCAAAUUAAUACGCUGUUUGUACCAGUCUAGAACACACUCAACACAGUUGUAAGUACUUGUUUAACAGAGGUUAUGUUUUACUAAAACAUUGGAUGUAAAUUCACUGACUCAUCAUUUAUUUGACCGUUGCAUUUGAAUGACGUGUCUUUUCUCGAAAGAUUUGGGGGGUGUGAUAUUGCAGUUUAUUUUCCUGAACUAGAUAUUCAUCUCUAUCUUCACAUGACAAAGUGUGACGCCCUUAAGCAAGGAUCAAUGGCAUACUUUACGAGACUUCAUAGCUAAUGCUAAUUGCUCAUCAGGGCUUUCAAUUUUGUCACAUGAGACUAAGGUCAAUAAUAAAGGGUACGAGCUAAUAGCAUUUGUGCGUGUGUUGGUAUUUUUUUUUUUUUUUU
This is a long non-coding RNA of Olea europaea var. sylvestris, 805 nucleotides long. RefSeq lists it as uncharacterized. The transcript is spliced from 3 exons. The record is from RefSeq and is a predicted model, not a curated record. NCBI's taxonomy places the organism in Eukaryota, Viridiplantae, Streptophyta, Magnoliopsida, Lamiales, Oleaceae.